This 442-nucleotide ribosomal RNA is filed under the name uncultured bacterium. RNAcentral's name for it is "partial 16S ribosomal RNA". It matches the Rfam family "Bacterial small subunit ribosomal RNA", at positions 338 to 795 of the family's 1533-position model. The record is from RNAcentral.
CCUACGGGAGGCAGCAGUGGGGAAUAUUGGGCAAUGGGCGCAAGCCUGACCCAGCAACGCCGCGUGAAGGAAGAAGGCUUUCGGGUUGUAAACUUCUUUUGACAGGGAAGAGCAGAAGACGGUACCUGUCGAAUAAGCCACGGCUAACUACGUGCCAGCAGCCGCGGUAAUACGUAGGUGGCAAGCGUUGUCCGGAUUUAGUGGGUGGAAAGGGCGUGUAGCCGGGCUGAAAAGUCAGAUGUGAAAUCCGGGGGCUCAACCCCCGAACUGCAUUUGAAACUGUUGGUCUUGAGUAUCGGAGAGGCAGGCGGAAUUCCUAGUGUAGCGGUGAAAUGCGUAGAUAUUAGGAGGAACACCAGUGGCGAAGGCGGCCUGCUGGACGACAACUGACGGUGAGGCGCGAAAGCGUGGGGAGCAAACAGGAUUAGAUACCCUUGUAGUC